UUAAUUUGUUUGUCUUUCUUAAUUAAUUGUGAUUGAUAAGGCCCUAAUUACCAAUUGUUGGUCUUCUCUAUUCUUUAUUAAGUUUUUGUGCCUAGUAAUGUUUAAGAAUAACUGCAUUAUUGGCCCACAAUCUAUUGUCCUAGUUGCAAGUUUGUAGACGACUUUUAAAGAGAAGCAAGUCCUCUUUCAUCGUAUUUGUACUAUAGGCCCCCAAUGACCGUAACCGCCAUUUAACACUUCAAAUUCUUCAUCUCUGGCCCAAGUUUUAGAUUUAUAAAGUCGUGUUAGGGCUACAUCAUGAUUUAAGUGAACAAAUAGUUUCAUAAGUAAGGGUAAACAUGGUUCCACUUAAUUCUGGUUCUUAGAUAACCAAAUUGAACGGAUGAUUUUAUUUAAUAAUGGAUCCAAUGGUUUGUUUUAUUAUUAUUUUUUACUUUUUUAACGAUAUGGAACCAUAUCGGAAUUGAAUCAUUUGGUUCUGGUAUGUUUACUUAAUUUUUAAAUGGUAAACGCAAAUUAAAAGCUAUCACCAUAUCCAUAAGUUAGUAAUAUAUACCUAACCUACAAAAAAAAAAAAAAAAAAAAAAAAAAAAAAACAUUAAGCAAAAUGUAAUGAUAGUUGUGGGGUAGGAGUGUGAGUGUGUCUAAAAUUGAAAAGGAGAAAGAGCGUAGAAUUCAGAUCUAGCGUUUGGACACUUUAUCUGAUAGGUGAUAAGAUAAAAUGUAAUGGUGAAUGACCUUUUUUCAAUUUUACACUUGCAAUUUAUAGAAUUAAAUUUUUGGUGUAUUCACUGAUUUGUAAAAGGAAAAAUAUAUAAAAAUAAUAAUAAAAAUUGAGUCGGUUCUUGUAUUUAGAAACGAAAUUGGAACCAAACCAAAAUCAUUAAUUUUUUUUUUUGUAGAACUGAACCUAAUCUCUCGAUUUUGUUUGGUUCUAAUUUGGUUUGGUCAUUUUGUCCACACCUAAUCAUAGAAAAAAUCAAGGACCAAUUGACUCAUUUUUAAAGCUUACGGACCAACUUUGAAAAUAUUGAGUUGGGAACCAUUGGUGCAAUUUUUCUACAUAUAUAUACGUGCGCUUGUGUAAUAUAUUGAUUUUUUUCUAGAUAUUAGGUAGCAUUUAUUAUUUAGAUUGAAAGCAUAUUCAAUUUUUCUUUCUUGAAAAAUUUUGCUAGAUAGGCGUAUAUGUUGUUCGAUUGAAAGCAUAUGCAAUUGUUCUUUAUCUUGAAUAUUUCAAUUCUUGUAUUUACAUUUUAUUCACUUGAUGCUAUUUUUUUAAGAGUAAUGCUAGUUGUAUAUAAUAAUGUAUAUGUUGGUUUACAAAUCAAUGAUGUUGAAAAGAGAGAGAGAGAGAGAGAGAGAGAGAGAGAGAGAGGAAUAAAAUGAAGUUAAUAUCGUCAAUCUGUACACAAUUAUGUACAAAUUACAUUACUCUUUUUUAGUUUUUAAAUGGGAUUUUCCCUUUUAUUUUUCCAUUGUGUUUCAUGUAAACACAUUAACGCAUGCUAAUAAGCUAUGGGGCUCAGCAAAAUUAUCUACGUGUAUGGGAGAAUAAAAGUUUCUGUUACAAACUCUUUACAUUAUCUCUACUUAUCUCUAACAAAACAAAUACACACCUUUAUGUAUUUUCUCCCUAUUUUUCUGUUUCUCAUAUUCCUUUAUCAGUCCUAUAGGAUUUAUGUCGUGUCAUUCGCUAAUUACACUUUAUAGCACUUGAUAUUUAUCAAAAAUAGAUUUCUUUUCUUUUUCUUUGUAUGUACACAGAAAGAUUUCGUUAACUUGUUGCUCCAAAAUUUUCAUAUUUGUUUUUAUUUUGUCUUCCACAUAAUAUUUCCUUGUUUCCUCAUCACCGAGAUCUUUCCUUUUCUCUUGCCAACUGAAGCAAUUAAGGGGAUUGUCUUUCAAUAAUUAGUGUAUAAAUAUAAUAAAGCCCCUGUUUAAAUCUUUUUAAAUUAAAUCUCUUUAUUUCUCGUACUUAUUUUCAGCUACAAAUUUACAUAAUAAAAUAUUUUGCACGUAAAUCUAAAAAUUUUUGCCUACUUCUUAACCCAUAUUCUCCGAAAAAUUAUUAUUCAAAACAUCAUUUUCCCUAAUUUCACUUUAUAAUAGCCAUCAAACAGGGGCUAAUAUACUUACCAUAGAUAGUCUAAAACAUAGCUGUAAUUGAUUGAAAUAAGCCCGUUACCAUAGAUGGUCUAAAACCUUGUAGAAUAUUUUGGCGAGUUAUUGAUUAUUAACAACGCCAACAAGUAUUCCAUCCUAAGUGUAGAAUUACCUGCAUUAAGAAUCAAGUUUAGGAAAUCCUUUACUCGUUACUUUACAAGAAUUCCUUUCUUAAGAGAAAUGUCCUUAUUGAAGUUGGGGUAGGAAAGGCAUUAUUCCUAUUUCAUCUAUUCCAUGACCGGAACAUGCGAGGAUACACGUUAUACCAAGAUUCUUUCACCAAUCCCCUUCUAAGGGAAGGAGGAACGGUAUUACUUAAUCCAAUCCUUCCUUCAUAAAGAAUGAUGGGGAGAAGAAACAUUCUUAUCAAAGUCAAAGGAGCGUGCUAACCACUCCCCUUUCUGUACCAUUGCUAGGAGCCUCGUCCUCUUGAUUUGGCACAGAAUUCUAUUGUAAUAACAUACAAUUGUAGAAGAGACCAAUAGAAAUGGUCUAGUUUCCAAAGAAAUCAAGAAUGUAAUACCCAAAUAUUAUUGGUUAUGGGUUGGCUUGACAUUCAUAACUCUAUUUGAGUCAUCAUCAUAGAGGCUAUGUCAUAGAUAUCUCUUUCUAAGCCAUAAACUAAUCAUGGGAAAAAGGUAAAGGUAUUCCCGAUGAAUGUUUAGUAUAGUUUGUUGAAUUCUUGCACUAAGAUUGUGAGCUAAUUUAAUGAAAAGAUUAUAGAUUUAUGUUUUUGCAUUUUGGGGUUCAGGAACUUCAUUCUAGAUCUUUUGGCCAAUGGUAAGAGGCAAUUUGGGAGCAUUGGUGGUAACUAACUGAGCCGUGACAUUAACACCACUGGUUGGUCAGAUCAUUUCAGUUGUGACUUUGCUUCACUUUGUUUAGUCAAUCCUUCACAAUUUCUCGUAACAUGCCAAUUCUUGUGACAAUAGUAACACCCAACGUCCCUCCAAGAACAUGACAGAGCUUGAUCACUCUUCCUCUCAUAAGUCUUUCCUUGCAAUGCACUUCUACCAGGUUUAGUUUCAGUUUUUGCCAAAAGAAUGUAUAACGAGGUUUACCACCUGGCUUCUUGAUAUUGGUGGUUAUCUCUUAGAAAACAGCAGGGACCUUAUUCAUAGUCAAAGUGAAUUUUCCAACUAGUAGCAUAGUUUCUAUAGUCCCGUAUGACGUGGACAAGAAAGACAUCAAAAUUAUUGCUUUGUCUUCACUCUCAUUCUCUAUUUCGAUGCAUAAUUAUUAAAAUAAUUCCCAACAGCAGCCCCUCUUCAAUCUUUCACUCAUACAAUUGGUUUAUUAAAUACAUUCUGUUUAUUGGGGAAUUGGACAAAUCACCUUUCUAAUGUUUUCUGUAGUUUAACAAGAGGUAAUCAUGCUGGAUUGUAUCUCAAGAGCAAUGAGCAAUCUAAAGGUAUGUUCUUGUUGUAUUUGCUUCCAUUUCUACCAAUUCUGCAUCUUCCACCCGUUAUAUAUCUUAACUUGCAAUACUUUAGGAGCUCUAGUUGCACUAAGACAUCUUUAACAAUAAUAUGUCAGACAUUAAGUUACUUUUCAAAUUAUCAAAAUGCUCACCUCAAACUUUGAAUUUGCCAUCACCUUCAAUGAUAGCGAGUUUUGGACUGUCAACUCUGAUGCCACUUGAUGGAAAAACACUGCAUACUAAUAAAAGCAAAUAGAAGAGAGAGAACUCAAUUUACAUGGUUCGGCAAAACCGCCUACCACCACAAUAAGAGAGAAUUAAUUCACUAAUCAAAUCUUCAAAUGCAAACUCUUUUAACUCUCUAGUCUAAACACAAUGUAUGUCCAUAUUCACUCUCCCUAUUUUAUUCUCUCUUGUUGCUUCCCUUUUAUUACUUCUCUCUCUAUUUCUGUCUCUCUCUGUGUGUGUAAUUCACUAAUUGUAUGUUCAUCACCUUGUAGCACAAAUCCAUAUUUGUCGAAUAUAAGUUUUGUCUUUCUUUUCUUUCUUUUAUUAACUUUCUUUGUACAUGGUAAGAUUUUCUGCUGUUAACAUUUUGCACAAUGAUUUUCCUCUUUUUCCUUAUUUUUUCUUCCACAUAAUAUUUUUUUAUUUUGUUGUGCACCCAUGUCCAUCCUUUUUCUUUCUCGAAGAAAAUAUAAACAAAAUAAUGGGAAUCAUAUCCUACAGUGGGAAUCAUGAAUAAAGAAUCUCAAGCUAGAGUUUCAAGAUUUUUACAAAUAAUAAGAAUAAAAAUCUGAAAAUUUAAGCCACUUCUGAGAAAAAGAGAAUUUUAACCAAAUGGACAUGCUUAAUCUGCCCUUGAUGGAUAGUAAUAGCUUUUGCUUUAUGAAUAUUAUUUCGUGAAAUAUCCAUUUAAUUCUGUUCCAUUGUCUAACAACAGAAAAAUGGCGUUGACAUUCCAC
RNAcentral lists this long non-coding RNA (4548 nucleotides) under Olea europaea (common olive). Its description in RNAcentral is "long non-coding RNA (OEUR_LNC008571)". Lineage: Eukaryota; Viridiplantae; Streptophyta; Magnoliopsida; Lamiales; Oleaceae. The record is from RNAcentral.